ACGUAGGGGGCAAGCGUUGUCCGGAUUCAUUGGGCGUAAAGAGCGUGUAGGCGGCCAGGUAGGUCGGUUGUGAAAACUGGAGGCUCAACCUUCAGAGGUCGACCGAAACCAUCUGGCUAGAGUCCGGGAGAGGAGAGUGGAAUUCCUGGUGUAGCGGUGAAAUGCGCAGAUAUCAGGAAGAACACCCGUGGCGAAAGCGGCUCUCUGGAACGGUACUGACGCUGAGACGCGAAAGCGUGGGGAGCGAACAGGAUUAGAUACCCUGGUAGUCCACGCCGUAAACGAUGGGCGCUAGGUGUGGGAGGUGUCGACUCCUUCCGUGCCGAAGCUAACGCAUUAAGCGCCCCGCCUGGGGAGUACGGCCGCAAGGCUA
This 373-nucleotide ribosomal RNA is filed under the name uncultured bacterium. RNAcentral describes it as "bacterial SSU rRNA". It matches the Rfam family "Bacterial small subunit ribosomal RNA", at positions 525 to 896 of the family's 1533-position model. The record is from RNAcentral.